This 484-nucleotide ribosomal RNA is filed under the name uncultured bacterium. RNAcentral's name for it is "partial 16S ribosomal RNA". It matches the Rfam family "Bacterial small subunit ribosomal RNA", at positions 30 to 507 of the family's 1533-position model. The record is from RNAcentral.
AUUGAACGCUGGCGGCAGGCCUAACACAUGCAAGUCGAGCGGAUGAAGGGAGCUUGCUCCUGGAUUCAGCGGCGGACGGGUGAGUAAUGCCUAGGAAUCUGCCUGGUAGUGGGGGAUAACGUCCGGAAACGGGCGCUAAUACCGCAUACGUCCUGAGGGAGAAAGUGUGGGAUCUUCGGACCUCACGCUAUCAGAUGAGCCUAGGUCGGAUUAGAUAGUUGGUGGGGUAAAGGCCUACCAAGGCGACGAUCCGUAACUGGUCUGAGAGGAUGAUCAGUCACACUGGAACUGAGACACGGUCCAGACUCCUACGGGAGGCAGCAGUGGGGAAUAUUGGACAAUGGGCGAAAGCAUGAUCCAGCCAUGCCGCGUGUGUGAAGAAGGUCUUCGGAUUGUAAAGCACUUUAAGUUGGGAGGAAGGGCAGUAAGUUAAUACCUUGCUGUUUUGACGUUACCAACAGAAUAAGCACCGGCUAACUUCGUG